GUUGUAUUAGUAAAGCAUAUUGCAUUUCUAAGAGAUCACUUUAGACCAGGGAUCACCAACCCUGUUCUUGGAGAGCUACCAUCCUGCACAUUUCAGUAGCAACCUCAAACACACCUGUCUGUAAUUAUCAAGUGCUGUUUCAGGUCCUAGUUAAUAAGUUUCAGGUUUGAUCAGGGUUGGCGCUGAAUCCUGCUGGAAGGUAGAUCUCCAGGAAUAGGGUUGGUGACCCCUGGUUUAGACCACGUCAGUGUUAGGCCUUAGUUCAAUUAGGACAUUUAAGUAGCUUUUAUAAACGUGUCUUAGAAAAAUACAUUACUGGUGUGCAUCUUCAGAUGAAACAUCGAAACUGACAUAUUUUAAGAUCUGCUAUCAGUGAGAUGUGAAGUUGUGUUGUUGUUAAUUUUUGUUCUUAUUUUCCUAAGCAGAUUCUGUCAUUUCACGGUGAACUACUCCCCUUCGGGAUGCCAUUAAUCACAUCCUUGCAGGAAGAGACGAGAAUUCAAAGUCAGAACUCAAAUAUAUGAAUCCAGUUAAAGAUACAGAAUUGAGAGCAGUCAGUCAUCCAAUCCCUCACCAAACUGAGCAUGAGGUGCAUUGUGUCUGAGGUCAGUGUGGCACUUCAUCUGCCAAAGAGGAAUUUGGAGAAGUUGGUGUCCAGCACCAGGAAGUGUCACCCGCUGUUCUUCUUCACAGACGUUA
Long non-coding RNA from Danio aesculapii, 699 nucleotides. RefSeq lists it as uncharacterized. Lineage: Eukaryota; Metazoa; Chordata; Actinopteri; Cypriniformes; Danionidae. The record is from RefSeq and is a predicted model, not a curated record. The transcript is spliced from 3 exons.